Molecule: long non-coding RNA, 20007 nt
Organism: Callithrix jacchus (white-tufted-ear marmoset)
Lineage: Eukaryota; Metazoa; Chordata; Mammalia; Primates; Cebidae
Source: RefSeq, a predicted model, not a curated record
GUGUGCGCAAAAUCGGGUUUGGGUUCCCGUAGGGAACGGUGGGCGUGGCUUGAGGAAGGACAUUUGUGAUUGGUGGGUUCUGCCGUGACCGGGAAGUUCGAACGGAAGUCUGGGGAAGAGCCGGCGAAGUGCCAAGACUUGAAGAACCGAGUACUACCAGCUGGAGCUAGCGGCAGUUGUGGCGCAUGCGCAGCAGCCCGGGUGGCCGCACGUCGCCGUUCAGCAAUAUGUAACGUAUAGACUUCUGCAUAUACCAAGCUCCCUGUUUCUGUAGGUUCACUUGCGAUUUAUCUGGUCUUUCAGGACUUGAAAGGGAGACAGUCCCAAAGAUAUGGACAAGAAGAAUAAACAGAUGCUUUUGCAGCUCACAUUGGUUGGGAAGAUCUGGCACAAGUGAAGUACCUAUAAGGAGCAGCAGAGUCAAUGUGGUGAUCCCGUGGAUGAACAACUGAAACCUGAUAUACUUGACAGCAGAAAAUAAAAAGCAAAUUGAAAAGGAGAGAGUGUGGAGAUAAACAGGGAAAUGAAAGAACUGAUGAAGUCAUUGGGAUGGACUUAAAAAGCUGGGAGUAAGAUCUUUGUUUAUGAUUGAACUUAAGAGAGAAUUCAGGGACCAUCUACCUUUGAUGUCAAUGAGAAAGUAAAGAGGAAACACAUUAAGAGAUACCCUUUGGUGAAAAACACAUAGACAGAAGUAUCCGUUGAUACAUCACAUUAUUUAUUCAACAGACUCUUAGUGAGAACUUACUGUGUAUGAAGGACUAUGGACUGAAAGAUAUAUAUGAAAGAACUUUUGGUCCAAGGAAUUUACAGGAUAAUUGAAGAAAUACAAAUACAAGUCACUUCUGUGAAGCAGCAGAGACACAGAUGAGGAAUUGUAAUAUUUGUGAAAUCAAAGUGGUAAAAGUAGUCAAAAAAGUCCUUACAGAAUGGUAUUCAAAAUGGGCCUUAAGAUAGAAAUCAGACUGAUUGUUAGCCGGACAACAAAGAUAGAAAGGACAAGACAGGAGAAGAGACCAAAUACAAAGGCAUGUGGGGGUAGGAAAGCAUGGCAUGGGUAGAAAAUGCCAGGUAAAUAAUGAGUUUAGUAUGUGGGGGCAUGGCAAAUAAUGACUCUGGUUUCUGCAAAACUCCAGGGAAAAGAAAAUGAGAUCCUGAAAUAUGGCAGUAACAGAGUAGGAGGGAAAAUAGGAUUAACUAGAGAAAUAUUUAGAAACUAAGAAUCUCAGGAUUUAGUACUUCUUGGGGAAGCCAUCAUGAAUGCUGACUCCAAAGCUCAUUAUCAACAAACUAAAAUAUUGAUACCUUAAAGUUAGAAUCAAGUCCUACCCUCCUUUUAGAAACUAUAAGAAAUAGUUCUGUCUUGUCUCACAUCUCUACCUCUGUUAAUCUCCAUUUGGGCCAAGCUUCCUCAACAUGUCUGUUCUCAUAUUACUCCAAUUACAAUGUCCAGGGCCUUCAAGUUGCAGAAGUCAUGGAGUUGCAUUCUAUAUGAAUUGUGAAUUAGGUACAAAGUGAAUAAUGCCCUACAGCUUCUGAAAUCUUUCAUCGUGACCUCCAAAAUGGCCCCCAGCAUGUCUAACUCUGCGAUGAACAAAAUACCUUAUGACAUCAACCUGUUUCCUGAGGUUCCUUGCAUUAAUGGAAAUUGGCCUGAGCUCUGAUGUCUUUGCUUCUCUUGCAGCCCUCCCAUGUCAAAGCUGUUUUUCAUUUCACCUGUUUUUUUUUUUUUUAGGUAUUUUUACAUUUAUUUUCAUGCCUUUAACACCUUAUGAAUUUAUGUGACUCAUUCAAGAUUAUAUCUGCCUUCCUUUCAAACUAGCUAUGAGAUAUUUGAUUCUCCCUGGACAAACUGUUCAUUCUACACAACUGGCAAUCUCCACAGUUGAUUCUUUAAAGUGGGCUGAUUCCAACCUCAGAAAAGGGUAUCAAUGGAAUAAGCUUUUUUAUUUGUAUUAUACCUUACUUUCUGGGAUAUAUGUGCAGAACAUGCAGGUUUGUUAAGUAGAUAUACAUGUGCCAUGGUGUUUUGCUGCACCCAUCAACCCAUCAUCUACAUUAGGUAUUUCUCCUGAUGCUAUCCCUCCCCUAGUCACCCACCCCCCGACAGGCCUUGGUGUGUGAUAUUCCCCUCCCUGUGUCCAUGUGUUCUCAUUGUUCAACUCCCACUUAUGAGUGAGAACAUGUGGUGUUUGGUGUUCUGUUCCUGUGUUGGCUUGCUGAGAAUAAUGGUUUCCAGCUUUAUCCAUGUCCCAGUAAAGGACAUGAACUCAUCCUUGUUUAUGGCUGCAUAGUAUUCCAUGGUGUAUAUGUGCCACAUUUUCUAUAUCUGGUCUAUCAUUGUCGGGCAUUUGGGUUGGUUCCAUGUCUCAACUAUUGUGAAUAGUGCUGCAAUAAACAUGUCUGCAUGUGUCUUUAUAGUAGAAUGACUUAUAAUCCUUUGAGUAUAUACCCAGUAAUGGGAUUGCUGGGUCAAAUGAUAUUUCUCGUUCUAGAUCCUUGAGGAAUCACCACACUGUCUUCCAUAAUGGUUGAACUAAUUUACACUCCCACCAACAAUGUAAAAGUGUUCCUAUUUCUCCACAUCCUCUCCAGCAUCUGUCUCCUGAUUUUUUAAUGAUUGCCAUUCUAACUGGCAUGAGAUGGUAUCUCAAUAUGGUUUUGAUUUGUAUUUCUCUAAUGACCAGUGAUGAUGAUCUUUACAAUUUGGUAUGUUUUUGCAGUGGCUAGUACUUGUUUUUCUUUUCCAGGUUUAGUACUUUUUUCAGGAGCACUGAAUCCCUCAGCAUUUGCUUGUCAGUAAAGGAUUUUAUUUCUCCUUUGAUUAUGAAGGAGAGUUUGACAGGAUAUGAAAUUCUGGGUUGAAAAUUCUUUUCUUUAAGAAUGUUGAAUAUUGGCCCCAAUUAUUUUGUGGCUUUUAGGGUUUCUGCAGAGAUCCUCUGUUAGUCUGUUGGGCUUCCCUUUGUGGGUAACCUGACCUUUCUCCCUAGCUGCCCUUAACAUUUUUUCCGUAUUUUCAACCUUGGUGAAUCUGAUGAUUAUGUGUCUUGGGGCUGCUUUUCUUGAGAAGUAUCUUUGUAAUGUUCUCUGUAUAUCCUGAAUUUCAGUGUUGGCCUGUCUUGCCGACUUGAGGAAGUUCUUCUGGUUAAUAUCUUUUAGAAUGUUUUUCACCUUGGUUCCAUUCGCCCUGUCACUUUCAGGUACACCAAUCAAACAUAGGUUUGUUCUUUUCACAUAGUCCCAUAUUUCUUGGAGGCUUUGUUUGUUCCUUUCCUUUCUUUUUUCUCUAAUCUUGUUUUCAUGCUUUAUUUCAUUAAGUUGAUCUUCAAUCUCAUAUCUUUUCUUCUGCUUGAUCAAUUUGCCUGUUGAUACUUGUGUAUGUUUCAUAAAGUUCUCAUGCUGUGUUUUUCAGCUCCGUCAGGUCAUUUAUGUUCUUCUCUAAACUGGUUAUUCUAGUUAGCAAUUCCUCUAACCUUUUUUCAAGGUUUUCUUAGCUUCCUUGCGUUGGGCUAGAACAUGCUUCUUUAGCUCGAAGGAGUUUGUUUCAUGUUUUUUCUCUCCCCCUGAGUAUCUCAGGGCUAAGAGUUGGAAUAGAUAUUUUUGUGUCCCAUUGUUGCUUUCAAACCUUUUUACGCUCAUCUUUCUAUAGAUGAUCUCUUUCCUCAAAAUUCAUUCCCCCUUCUUCCCACCUUAUUGCUAAUAUUUAAUGUCUUCUCUCCCCUUUCAUCCACUGGAAACUUUAGCUUUUGGUUCAUAUUUCACAUUUCACCUCCUUCUGCUUUUUUUUUUUUUUUUUUUUUUUUUUUUGAGACAAGAUUCUUGCUCUGUUGCCCAGGUUGGAGUGCAUUGGUGUGAUCUUGGCUCAUUGCAACUUCCACUUCCCAGGUUCAAGAGAUUCUCCUGCCUCAGCCUCCCAUGCAGCUGAGACUACAGAUGUGUGCCAUCAUGCCUGGCUAAUUUUUUGUAUUUUUUGUAAAGACGAGGUUUCACCAUGUUAGCCAGGAUGUUCUCAAUCUCCUGACCUUGUGAUCUGCCUGCCUCAGCCUCCCAAAGUGCUGGGAUUAUAGGCGUGAAUCAUGCACCCGGCCUCCUUCUGCUUUUUCUGAUUAAAAUUUUAUUCAUGCAGAUAACCCAUUCUACACUUGCUUUCUCAGUUCCUUGAUCUUACCUCUAACGCCUUGUCUUGCAUUUCACUCUGGGCACUCUCCUAUAUCCAUUUCCCAAAUUUAUGAGAACCAAAGUUUUACACUAUCUCUGAAAUCUUGGCUGAAAUAUUUGACUUUUUCACCAAUAUCUUUUUAUCCUUUGUGCUUUUUUUUUCUGUAGAACUCCUACAGCCACAAUUUGUUGAUUUAAUCCAGACUCUCAAUACCUUGACCCACUGAUGUUCAUGAUUAAUCAAUCCCUUCUUUCUUCUACCUUCCUCUUUGAUUAGCUUACAUUCUAUAGGUGAUUGUUAUGAUGAUUCUUUUGAUAAUACCUAGCUUUACUUCUUUAUUCAUUCUGCUUGGAGAGGUGGAGAAACUUGUCUGAUUGGAAAAUUUGGGAAGAAUAUACUUGUAUACUCAGCCCAAUUCCUUUUUUUUAGCCUACUCUCUGCAGGUGGGUAAUAAACCCAUACAUUUCUCUGUAAACCUCUGACCUUGUGCCAAGAUGGAAAGAGACCUGCCCUGUUGCAGUGCUGCACUGUGGGUGGGUGAAUACGCUCAUUCUGGGGUUUGGUAUUAGGAAACUCAUUUGCCCGCACAUAUAAAGUAUAGUCAUUAAUAUAUCAGGUUAAUAAAUGUGAUAAUUUGGCUUCUUCUAUCUUAUUUGUCUCCCUUCUCAAUUGUUCAGAAUUUUAGCAGGGAAGAUUUUGGUUUAUUUGGUUUCCUCAAAGACCUCAAAUUUAUAUCUCCCUUCUCUCUCUUCUGUAUUGUUAAAUAUAAGCAUGAGCAGUAUGGUAUGCAUUAUUCUGCACUUUGUUCUUUUCACUCAAUUAUAUAUCAUAGAAUUAUUUUCCUAUUGUCACAUACAAAUUUAGUUAUUUCUUUUAAUAAGAUACAUAGUAUUUCAGUAUGUAGUAGUACCCCGAAAAUGUAACACUUUUUGAGACAGUGUUGCUGUUGAUGAACAUUUUGGUUUUCUGUCAUUUGAUAAUACAAAUAGUACUACAACUGAAAUUACUUGUAUAUGCAUUUUCUAUGUGUAUGAGAGGAGAGGUUUUUCUUUGUGCACUGUAGGAGAGUUUUCACAUUAAAUUCAUAAUUUUAAACUUCAACUGAGACACUCAACAUGACCUGGCAGUAUUAUUUUAUUUACCAAGUAAGUGCAGUUUCCCACUUUGAGUCAGUUAUUGUAUACCUUCCUUCACACUCGCCUGAGGACCCUAAUGACAAUAUUUUAUAUUUAAUUUUAGGGAAUUCAUCAGACAGGAGUACUCUCAUCUUCCCACUAUCAAAAUUUGUAAACCUAACUAUGUAUGCCAUCUUUUCUUUCCUUCUGUAACAAUGAAGGAUAUGUUUCUACUUCCACCGUUUGUCUUCUGGAUCCUACUUCUCCUCUCCUCAAGGCCUUCAUCUUUUUCAGUUCUACCUUCCCUGCCUGUAUCACCACUCUUUCCUAUCCACAUUUUAAGAGAAUAUUUUGUAAAGCCUUCCACUAUCUGUUAUCCUCUAGCCACCACCAUUUCUCUGAAUCCUUUCACAGUUAAACUUGUGGAAAAUUAGCUUUAUUUCUCACUUCUUAUCGAUUCUUCAACUCAGACCUGACUGGUUACUAUACUCAUCACUCCACUGGCACUAUUCUUAUUAGAGUCACCAGUGAUGUGCAUGCUGUCAGAUGUAAAAGGUAUGUCUCUGUCUUCAUUUAGCCCAGCUUCUUAGCAUCUUAUAAAGUACUUAAAGACCUUUUCCUUGAACACUCUUCUUGGUUGUCUUUAGAGAAAUCAUGAAAACUGUUGUCUCUUCAUUUCUCAACUACUUCACUAGCUGUUCCUUCUCAGUCUGUUUUCUUUGUUUAUCUUUUCUCUAAAUAUUCAAGUUAAUUACAGUUCAGUUCUAGGGUCAUUCAUAUAUUUUUAAAAUACAUUUUCUUUCUGAGUAAUAUCAUUAAUUACCAUUAAUUGCUAGUGCAUUUUUUUUUUUUUUUUGAGACAGGAUCUAUGUUGCCCAGGCUGGAGUGCAGUGGCACAACCACAGUUCACUGCAGCCUCUACUUCCCGGGUCUCAGGUAAUUAUCCUGCCUUAGCCUCCCAAGUAGCUGGGACCACAAGCAUGCACUACCACACCCUGCUACUUUUUGUAGAGAUGGGGUUUUCUCAUGUUGCCCAGGCUAGUCUCAAACUCCUAGAUACAAGCCAUCUGCCCACCUCAGCUGCCCAAAGUGCUGAGGUUAUAGGUGUAAGCCACUGUGCCUAGCUUUAUUAACAGUGCUUUUAGUCCCUGUCUAUAGACUGAUGAAUCCAAAAUUUACAUCUCCAGCUCAGAAUAUUUUUUGAGAGAGAGAGUCUCACCCUGUUUUCCAAGCUGGAAUGCAGUGGCAUGAUCAUAGCUAACUGCAGUGUGAAACACCUGGGCUUAAGCAAUCCUCCCAUCUUAGCCUCCUCAGUAGCAAGGACUACAGGUACAUGCCCAACUAAUUUUUGUAUUUUAUUUUUUAAUAAAGACAAGGUGUUGCUAUGUAUGUUGCCCAGGCUGGUCUUGAACUCCUGGCCUCAAGCAAUACUCCUAUCUCAGCCCAAAGCACUGGGAUUACAGGUGUGAGUCACCAUGCCCAGCCCAGAACUUUUAUUUUCACAUAUUCUAUUAGGUAGAGUUGUAUCAUACAAGCAUUUAAUUUAAAUGCCGAUGUGGAACGUUCUUCCUAAUGUAAGAUUUAAAUUUUAACUGAUAUAUCUACUUGGGUGUCUCACAGACACUCAGUAUGUCCAAAAUAGAUACCUUUGUUUUCGCUUAAACCUGUCCCUCCUGCCUUCAGACUUCCUUGUCUCAGUCAACCAAUCCAGCAUCCUCCCAAAUUCUGAUUACUUAACCCAUAAAUCUUAGUGUGAUAUGUACUUAAAAUAAAAUCCACACUUCUUACCAUGACCUAAACAUUAUAUGACCUAUGUGUUAUCCAUAUUACUAUGACCUAAACAUUAUAUGACCUAUGUAUUAUCCAUAUUUCCAAUGAUAACUCUUUCCAUUUUCCCUUUUGCCCAUGGCGUUUCAUCCAUACUGGUUGUUGAUUGCCUAGAACCCACCUCUGCAGCUUUAGGGCUUUUGUCUUUCUCUGCCUGAUUCAUUCUUCUGCUGUUUUCUUGGCUAGGUCCUUAUUUUUUCAGGUAUCAAUUUGCACCUGUCUAAAGAAGUCUUUUCUAACUUUUCUAUUUAAGGUAGGUUAUCCUCUUCCCACACUAUAUUCUUAUCUCAGCCUUCUGUGGAUUUAACUUGAAUCUUUCUAUCUAAAACUCAAAGAAGGCAUGUAUUAAUUAGGGAAGAAUGCACAUGGGCAUAGGUAAAUUUAGGGAACAGAUGGUAUUCGUCUGUUCUCACACUGCUAAUAAAGACAUACACAAGACUGGGUAAUUUAUAAAGGAAAGAAGUUUAAUUGGCUCACCAUUCCACAUGGCUGGGGAGGACUCAUAAUCAUGGCUGAAGGUGAAUGAAGAGCAAAGUCACAUCUUACAUGGCAGCAAGAGAGCCUGUGUAGGGGAACUCCCCUUUAUAAAACCAUCAUAUCUCAUGCAAACUACCACAAGAAUUAUCACAAGAAAAACACAGGAAAGACCCACUUCUGUGAUUCAGCUACCUCCCACGGGAUCUCUCCCACAGCAUGUGGGAAUUAUGGGCGCCACAAUUCAAGAUGAGAUUUGGGAAGGGAUACAGCCAAACCAUAUUAGAUAGACAAGAUACUAAGUUUCCUGUGAAGAAGGAAAUGGCUAUCAGUUGAGAGUAGGGGCCUUGAGAAUGGUAGAAGUUUGUAUUAGCUACUUGGGGUGAGAGAGAGGAUUUUCACCAAAUAAUUGGCAGAGUAUUAAGAAAACUGGCAGAUUAUUAAGGCUCCAGCUAAGACUAGUGUGAAUCUUUUCCACAAGCUCAGGUGUGCAAAAAAUAUCAUGUUAUUUUUUAAAGGCAAUUUAAAAUCAAUUCUAAACCUCAAAUUAAUGAGGGUGGAUGGUAAUUCAUUCUGUCAUUACUGGGACUCUCAGAGUCGUCCAAAAUCCACAGGUAUUCUGGAGCCCUGUUUUGAAAUCCAGAUACAAAGUAUCAGCUCAUACUGCUUGCUACUGAAAUAACCAUUGCUACCAAUCCUUGACCAGGUUUACAUCCAAUAACUCUGCUGCCUGCUUAGAGAAUAGAAAUAUGUUACCAGUUAGUAGUUCCUGUGCCUCUAGUCCAGCUUCCCUACUUAUCCUCUGAUGUCUUACCACAUAUCUGGUGCUAACAUUCUGGGAUCUGACAACUACUGACCUUUCCCAAUAAAAGAUGUAGUGUAAUGGUUAUAAUUGUGCCUGAAAAAGUAGAUAAAAAUAAAAAUUUAAAUAGCGUUCUAAGUCAGAUUGGAGAUAGUGGUGAAGCAUAAAAUUAAAUUAACUCUAAUAAGUCACUAAAAGAUGAGCUGCAAUCUGGUGGGAAGUGCACAAUCCUAUUUGCCAAAUCAGGUAAUUAAGUUUUGAAAACAUUUACUGUAAAACUUUAGAAAAUGUGAAAUUUGAAAUAAUGUUAGCAACACAUUUCCUGGGAAAUUAAAUUCUAGAGGAUCAGCUUGAGUAUACUCUCAGCAGUUGACAUAGCAAGCAGAGCUCAGCUGCGGUGGAUUAAGGAUGGCUGCAAAUUCUUUGACAUUCCUCCUAUGGAGAAAUGAGCUCUAAUUCCUUAAUCCUUUAAUCUAGACUUGUUUAGUGACAUGCUUCAUCAAUGGAAUACACUGAAAUAACAUUCUGGAAUUUCUAAGACUGUCGUAAAAAGCUGAGGGGUUUCUUUUGGGCUUCCUGAAAUUCUCCCUUUUGGAUCUCUGAUCAGCUAUGUGAGGAGUUUAACUACUCUGCAGGAGAGUGGAUGUGAAGAGGAUCCUACCAAAGCCCAGCCUCCUUGUCAUCCACAUGAAGACACCGGACAAAUGAGUUUACGCUGUUUUGGACCCUCCCCACCAAGCACAACCCAGUCACCAGCUGAAUACCACCAAAUUACCUUCUAGUUAAAGCCUUAUGGAGCAGAAGAAUCACCUAUUCAAUUUCUGCUUGAAUUACUGACUCAAAAUACAUCAGAUGGAGUCCUGCUCUGUCGCCCAGGCUGGAGUGCAGUGGCAUGAUCUUGGCUCACUGCAACGUCCACCUCCGGGGUUCAAGCAAUUCUCCUGCCUCUGCCUUCUGAGUAACUGGGACUACAGCAUUAUCUUGAUGAAUUGCUGUUUUUAAAGAUCACCCUUUGCCUGGAAAGUGUGCAAUAGAUCAGGCAUGAUGAAGGUUUGUGUUGAGCCUGAGAUUUUGGUCAAAUUUUGUAUAACCCCAUUGCCUGCUGUAUUAAUAUACCAUACUAUUCCUGAAUUUACUCUUUGUUUCCAGUUUGUAUACCGUAUAUUUUAGCAAAUUUGACUGGGUGGAUUCUUCCAACAAGAAAGCAUAUUUAGUAGCUAAACUAGGACUCAAAAGCAUACAAGAUUAUCAUACUCCAGAAAAAUCUAUAGAGUACUGAAACUGUUGAAAGAAAGAAAGGAAGAGAGAGAGAGAAAUAAAGAAAGAAAAAGAAGAAAGAAAAAGAAAGAAGAAAGAAAGAGGAGGGAAGGAAAGAAGGUAAGGAAGGAGGGAAGGAUGGGCGAAAAGAAGUAGGGAAGGAAGAGUUCUAUAAGUCAGGUCACAUUCCUUGAAUUUAAAUGUUAAUUAUUCCCACUGAAAAUUACCGUGGAAAUUGAUUAUAGACGUUUGUUAGGGUUUGAAUCACCUACAUUUAUCCCUAGAAAUCUAGCUAUAGUUUGAAGAAAACUUACACGAUAAUUUGUCUAUACUUAUUGCACUUGGAGGAACACUUAAAAAACACUACACAUAAACAAAAAACAAAGCAGGAACAUUGUUGUGGAGUACAAGUUCCUUAGAGAGACAAUAACAAUUAGUAUGAAAAGAGCAGCGUUGGAUCCACUGAGGACUACCAUUUCUUCAAAAGCUAAGGAGCAAUUUAGAGGAAAGCUAUCAAAAUUUGUCACCAUAUCAAUGAGUUGAUUGUUAAAUAAUGCCCUGAACUGACUUUGAAAUAACACAUGAGUAUAGCAAUGUUACAUGUAAAUGGUAAAGAAACAUCUUCUGAAUGCAUUUUAAUUUACCUUACCUUUUCUUUUUGUCAAGUAAGUUUUUUUUUCUAUCAAGUAGUCAAGAAAGCACCUGUCUCUGUUAAUGUUUUUUUGCAGUAUUAGAUUUAUACCUCUAUUAAAGGAUUUCAAAACUGCUUUGUAAUUAUCGAGAACAGAUCUCAAGUUCUCAUUUAAAAAUAAAGUUAAUGUCAUGCCCAAAGUCAUGGAGAAAUUUAGAAGUGGUGUUUAAAAUAGAAAUUUAGACUACUGACUUGAAAUCCCAUGCUCUGACCACGAGACCACACGCCUGCCCAAAGAUACUUAAAAUUUUUACUGAGCUAUUCUUCUUUGUAAUUAGAUGCAGUGAUUAGAGUGUCUUUUGCAUUACUCUGCAUUUUUCUUUUAAGUCAGGGUUGUAAGCCACAUAGGGCACUGUCCUUUGCAAAACUAAACAAGGGAUUUUCAGUUUUGCAAUACAAUCUCCUGAUAUUUGUUUAUAGGUUUCACACAUCAAAAACAAUGAAAUCUGUAAUUUUUCAAAUUACAAUCCUCUCAUUCUCUAAGUUAUGUGCCUAUGAGAAUUUGAAAAUCUUUUGAAGAGAAUGUAAUCUUUAUGCUUACAAAAUGUAGGCUUUCAUACUUGGGUGCAAUUACAAAUCAAGGCCUUUUUUCCCCAUAAUAAUCAGUUUCUCAAAGUUGUGGGUUUUCCUCAUUUGAAAAUAAAUUAAUGGGAAUUUUAAGUUAUAAUUCAUCCAGCUAUUCAAUCUUUUGAAUCUUCAAAUUAGAAACCAUUUCUACUCUCAGUUCCCAAAGAAGCAAUGGCAGAAAGUGCUUUAUAUCAGAGCAUGUAAAUUACAAUUGAUUUUUUUUUUGAUUGGGGAAAUAAAAAUAACCAGCUAAAACUAGUUAAAUUUAAAUUCAAAAAAAAGAAAGCUUUUAUGUGACUGCUCAUUGUUUUAGGUUUUUUCAUUAUAGGUAUGUAUUGUGUGACUAUAAUAUUGAGUUUAUUUUUGUUAAGUACCUGCCAAGAAAGAAAGUCAAUUCUGAAACAGCAAAAACUCAGAAGUGCUGCAGAUGGCUUUCAAAGGCAUUUGAAUUAGACAUCAUUUGAUGUUGCAAAAAACAAUGAUACCUUUUACAUCUCUAAACAUCACUUUUUAAAUUAGAGAUUGAUCUAUAAAGGAGCUAAUUUUGCAUAAUUAUUAUUCAUUUUGAGAUAAUAAUAUAUGAUAGCUACUAAAUUAUACAGUAGUUUUGUGUAGAGAUUUAUACGUAUUUUCAGAUUGCCAUCAUCACAUCAUCUAAUUAUUUAGAAAUUUCAUUUUCAGAACCUUGAAUUUUGGACAUAGGACUUUAAAAAAAGUUAUACUUUAUUUUGAGAUGAAAAUGUGGCUGUUCACAUUUUCCCAGAUCUACCUGGAGCAAUCUGCAGAGUGGGGGUGAGAUUUGGGAGUAGGGGGGUAGGUGGCAAUAGACACACACAAAACUUGUUAAUUCCCAUACAAGAAACAUGUACUUUAAAAACGACAACAAUAACAACAAAACCAGUUCAUUAUUGUUUUACAUAUUUAUUUAGUUCACUACUAUGGGCAUUUUGUUAAGGUUUCCCUGAGGAAACAUAAGGUAGAAUCAGGAACAACACUGCCCAUACAAAGAGGGAGUCUUCCAAGUAGCAAGCCCCUGUCUCUUGAUCUCAACUCUAGCAAACAUCCUGGAAGGCAAGCUCUUUGUCUAAUUUUCUCAACACUGUACCUCUAAGAUCUAGAGCAAGAAAUGAAGGACUGGAUGAAUAAUGAAAAUAAUGAUUCCUUUGGGUACCUUUUAAAUCAAGUUGCCAAAUUAACAUUAAUAUUCUUAGGUAGACUGAAGGUGAUGCCACCAAUCAGUGAAUGACAUAGGAAAUCUACACAUGGAAGGUAUAAAUACUUGAGAGAACAAAGCCGUGGCUGAAGAAAUGGCUCUGACAGUGACCACUUGGGUAAUUUGAACUUAUCCAAAAUGGACAUAAGUCAUGGACAGAACAGUGGUCUAUUCACUUCAAAAACCUCUCCUUGAAUGUAUGGGUGAAAUAUAAUAGCUGGGCUUCCUUUAAAAUUAUACUUUGAAGGGCAGGAUGGAGAGGACAGGAAAAUUAGAUGAACUAGAGAUGAUAUAAAAUUGCCUUUGUGUUAAUAAUUGUUGAAUGGGAUUCACUUUGGUGUUUGAAAUUUUCUAUAAUAAAAUGUCAACAUACUCAUCUCCACUUAAGAGCCUGACAUAAUAAACAUUUACACUGCUUAAUGUGUAAAUACAGUCUAAUCUUAGAAAGCACUUCUUACAUAGAUUAAGAAAAUUUAAAAAAAGGUUUGUCUUCAUGACAAAAAAAUUGCUUUCAGCUCUAGAUGCAACAAAUCAUGAUAGAAAUUGGUACUAGGCCGUGUGUGGUGACUCACACCUGAUAUCCUGGCACUUUGGGAGGCCAAGGUGGGUAUACAUCUAGGAGCCUAGGAGCUUGAGACCAGCCUGGGCAAGAUGGCAAAAACCUGUCUCUACAAAAAAUACACGCGCCUGUAGUCCCAGCUACUCAGGCAGCUGAGAUGGGAGGACCUGAGCCCAGGACACUGAGGCCGCAGUGAUCUGUGAUCACCACUAUACUCCAGUCUGGGAGACAGAGCAAGAUCAUGCCUCCAAAAAAAAAAACCUCCAAAAAACAAAAAAAACCUCACAAACAACAGCAAAAGAAAUUGAUGUCAGUGUAUAUCAUUAAUAUCAGGUUUUUAAUAAUCUUGGGGGAGCUAUGCAAAUUACUUUAUGCAACGUCUACAUGAUUCUCAUUACAUCUUUGUACUCACUUGGACAAAGGCUGAGUAACUCAAGGAAAGUUACGGAAAAAGGGACCAAAUAACCACCAUAUAUCUCAAUAAUUUACCUGGUGCCAAUCAUCUGUCAAAAAGAUGUAAGUUCGGUGCUCUUGUAAGGUGGUAGAAUUUAUUAUUUUAUAAUGGUUUUAUGUGAUUCUCAUUGCUUGAUCAUGAGUCAGAUUUAUUUUCUAACCAAAAUUAAUCUUGGACCCUUGCCUAACAACCUUUUAAUUAUUUUCUAGUUCUCUUAAAGUCUUGUUCCUUAACAUGAGAUUGUGUAUUUUCCUGCCUCUUCAGAAAAAAUUUUUAGGACUUCUUUAGCUUGGUGAUUUGUGACCUUAUAAAUAAAUACUAGUUAAAUGAAUGUUAGAUAAUUAGUGUAAAUUGAGUUUGAGUUUGAAUUGUUCAAUUAUCUUUAGGCACAAUUAUUAGUGAGGUGAUGCAUUCAAAUAAGAGUUGAUCAAACAAACAGAGCAAAGAAGGUGAUUUUUCUAGCCCAAUUCUUACACUCUCGCACUCAAAUGAUAACUUCAAGACUGAUUUGUCAAUGUGUGGUAUGAAAGCUUAAAAAAGACAGCUAUAUAUUACAGGGUCCUAAAGGUCAGGAAUUACUUCUCUGUAAGUACUUUUUUCAUUUUCUCAUACCACCUAAUAGUUCUGUAUCAUAGCAGGCCUCAAUACCUUUCUCUGCAAUAAUUGCCAUCACUACCACCAGACAUUCUGAAAUGAAAAUAAGUGGUUCUAACCUUUAAUAGUAUAAAUCUGAAAUUUUAAAAGCUAAGUUGUUAUUGAAUUAAAAUUUAAAACAACGUUAGUACUAAGGCCGACAAAACCCCUUUAACAGGAAAAGAUCAACAUUAAGUGACCUGUUUACUUAAAAUUAUACUUUCACUCAUAUUCAUACAGUAUAUUUUGUAAUCUCCAGCUGGCCCUCCAUCCCAAAUCUAUCUACUUACAAAAAGAGGGGUUCAUAAGUCGAAAUGCUAUAGAAGGAAGAAAUCUAAUUUUGACCUGGAGUCAAAUGGAUGCCAAAGGGAGUUUAUGGUUUUCUCUACUUUAUAAGCUGUAAUUGCAAAUACAGUUUCCUUCAUCUAAAAAACCAUUCCACCCUGAAAUUUUCAAACAAAAAUAGUUUUCAGAAACAUUGGCAAAAGACAUCUUCAAAGGAAACUAACUAGUUUGAAUUAAAAGGAAAAGGGAGGAGAGAGAUGGUGGAUUUUUUUUUUUUUUUGAUGGUGGAUAUUUUUAAAGGGAUUAUGUUUUCAAUAUUUUGGGCACAAGAUGUCUAAUUCCUAUUUUUUAAAGCAUUUCUCAUUUAAAAUGUAAAGUAGAUUAGUAACUUAUAUGUGCUUAAUUUGUAAAUAAGAUAAAAAUAGCAUAAAUGUGUAUAAGAUAACUUUAAGAGAAAAACAGUAAUAUAAAAAUCUUUUCUCUAAAUAUUAAAGAGAAACAAAGUUGUUAUCAGUAAAUGCCAUGAAAUACUGAAAUAGAAGGGUCCAUAUCAUAUAAUUAAUAUGAAUAUAGUAAUAGUAUGAAAUUCAGUGGCCAAAAGUAUUUUUGACUAAUUGUUUUUAUCAGAAUAUUUGAUAUUAUAACUUCAUAAUAACUUUAAUUUAAACAAAUUGUUAGUUGCACCAAUCCUGUUUAUUAUGGUGUAUCUGUAGGUUAAAUUUAAAAUCCUGACUAACUUUGAGAUUAACUGACAGAUCACCUUUGCUACAACUGUUGGAUAACAUUCAACAUAAGACAUGUUAGGAUUCCAGUUUUACAAAGUAGCAUAAUAUUUCAGUAGGUGAGAGGUUAGGGUAGUGUAUUCAGUGGAUAUGUCAUCACUUCUUACUCUUCAUCACAGAAGGUUCCAAACUUUAAUCUUCUCAUUCCUCUUUUCUUUGCAUUACAUAUAUAUAUAGUUUUUUGCUUGUUUGUUGGUUUUUUUGUUUUAAGUUCUUACACUAAACUACUUUUGAUUCCACAGAUUAUUGAACGUGGACUUUCAUUACCAAAACCAUGUUUGAGUGAGGUAGCACAGGGGAACACACUGAAUUAGUCUCAAUAUAUUUUGAGUUUACCUUUGAAUUAAAUAUAUCAAAUACUGAAAUGAUACCUGCAGAAAUGGAAACUGGAGACAUCUGAAUCUUUGGGGUGUCUCAGAUAUUUGACUGAAGGUUCAUUUAUCUAUUAAAUGGCCAUCCUAAUGUUAAGUUCAGAGGUUCUUAUUUAUUUCUAGGAGGAAAUAUUUAAAUACGUUUUUUUAAAGGAGCUGGAAAAAAUAUUCGGAGAAGCAUAAAAUCUUCCCAGAAAUGACUCUGUCAGGACAGGCUACAACAAUAGGUUUAGAAUGGUAAAGCCAAUUUCUGAAGUGAUAAUCCCCAAAAAUUCUGCCAAAAAGAAAUUGACUAACCAAGCCCAAAUAAACCAAACUCAAAACAAAAACUAUCAGAAAACAAAGGUAAUGUUUCAGAAUUGUUGAAGUUGUAACAGCCACUGUGAAUAUUCAGUUAGAUGACAUACCAUGAAGUGAGGCUAAAAGGUAUUUUGAUGCUGGAACCCUUAAAAGGGUAAAUGUUCUGCAGGCUGUCUUCAGGAAAUGAUAAAACAUGUAUGAUUACAGUCUGCAAAAUAUGCAAAAUAUAAAAGGUUCAGAGAAUUAGAACUUGAUUUUAGAAAAGUAAGAUUAGGUGAUAUUCUCUGAAAUUUGAAGAGAAUAUUUACAAGUAAAAUGGAAGUCUUUCUGAUGUGGUGUAUGUUGAAAAUAAAUGGCAUUAAGAAAAGUUAAAGAAUGUAAAGGGUACUUUUACCUUUGAUCACUAAGAGGGGAAGUUAGAGAUGGUUUUGUUAAGUCCUUAAAUGUUCAGGGUGACACUACUCAAAUCAUUCCCUAGGGCCACUCACAGAAAGAGAAUAUUAAAGUUGGGCUAGGCUCCUACCCAGCAGAACAAUUCAUAGAAUCUUAAUCUGUUAAGCUGGAAAGGACAUUAAAGAACACCUAGUCCAGCCCCCUCAUUUUACAGAUAUGGGAACUGAGAUGCAGAAUGGCUGAGUCAUUUGUCUAAUGUUAUGCACUUGGUGACAGGCUGGAAGAAAAAUAUGGUUUCUUGAUUCCUGGUCUGAAGUUCUUUCCACUUUCCACAUCUCUAUGCUCACUCAAAGCCAAAAACUAUGUUAUUCAUCAGGUGGGUUGCCUUCUUACAGAGGUGAGUGGGUUAAAUAGAGCUAAAUGCCAUUACAACUGUUAUGGUUAUUCAAGCUUGCUGACUUGAUCUGCCUGCUGUGGAUCUAUCUUCAACUACAAAGCCCUGCGAAAGAGUCCACUGUCCUGUAACAUAAUUGUUGUUUUUAGGUCAAAACAAUUAUGUGAAAGUUCUUGCAAGAAAAGUUCUCUUUUUGACACCCUUGUAUUCUUAUCCUUUCCCUAAGUAAUGGUGUCUUAUCUUAGAGAAUAAUGGAGCUUAGAUACCCAAAUGCCCUGUGCUGAACCCACUUGGCCAUUCUUGAUGUUUCAAUGAGGAGAGAUGAGGAGAUAAUCAAGGAAAAGAAUCUUCUAGUAUAUGGCUAUGCUUAAUUUAUGUCAUGGAGAAGAGAAGGAUUGUCUGUCAGGAUGGAAAAUAACAAAUGAGAAUUUUAAUUAAUUAAACAUUUUGCCUAUAAAAUUGGAUUAUAAUUAAUUGAUAUGUCCUUGAAUAGAAAUGCUUUUUUCCAUACAGUAAUCCCAUGCAGCCCCUUCCUACCAGCAUUUAAUGGUCUUGGUAUUUCGUGAUAAAUAUUUUCUUUCAAGUUAGAAAGAAAAACCUCACAUAUUUAAAAAAAGAGAAAGGUACUCCAAAUCCAUUAUGUUUGAUAUCAUUUUCUUUCUAUUUUAUUCUUCCUUUAGGUUUAGAAUAGAUGUAUAUCAAAUACAUUUUUUGGCCAAAUGCCCAAUGGCUCUUAGAUCAACAUUUUUCAGAGGCUAAUGCUAGAUACCAUCAUAGAAUGAACUCCUUAGAUAUAAAAAGAAAUGUGAACUAUAACUGCAACUAUGCUUAUAUAAUAAAAAACUUAGUAAUCAGAUUUUAAAAGUUUGACAUCAUGGUACAGGAAUAAAUAUUCAUAUUAUUAUCAAUCUAUAUCCCUAUUUCUCAAUUUAACAGCUUAAAUAUUCUUAUUUGUUUUCUGUAUAAGCUUACCAGCUUUCACAAUCUUCCCUAAUUUUGCAACACUUUGCUCUUCUAAUACUUACAGCACAUAAGGAAAUUUUAAUUCUAUGUUAUAUCUGUACAUUCAAAAUGAAUAUUCAAACAUUAAACAGUACAUUAGGAUGACCUUCCUUGUUGGCACAUCCCUUCUUUGCUGACUGUACAUGAUAGUAGCCUACAAAAGACACACAUGAUGAUGAUGAUGAGGUAGGUUUGUGGCUAUUUGACUUUCCAAAGGCCUAAGAGGAAGCUGUAGUUGAAACCAAACGGUAAAUCUUGGCUGAAUAUCAAAACUGAAGUCAAACUUCACUAUGUCUCUAAUUCAGAGUUUGGUAGAACAUUUCAAUAAGCACACUUAUUUUUUCUUUAUAGUUUAUUUUCUUUUCUUCCUUUUUCUGAAGAAAUAACUACAGACAUUUUAAACUGAAAUCCAUGAAUUCCUCUAAGAUCCACAAGAUGGUGCUAUAAAGUGGCAUUUAGAAAAUUUUGACAAACCAUAUGACUUCCUGGAGCAAAUACUUAAGCAUGGUCAAAUAAUUUUUUCUAUUUUUGGUUAGAAAUUUUUUAUUACAUCAAAAUUUUGGAAGUUCUCAGUCUUUUUUUUCUUCAUGUUACCUGUGUAUUACUAUUUCUCUAUAUUCUGCUUCUAAGAAUAUUUCAUGAAUAUAUUGAUUUACUUGAUGGUGUUCAGUAAGUUUUACAUUUCAUACUUUAAUUUUGUUCUGCAAUAUUAUAUUUUUGUGUUAUAUAUUUCAGGGUAUGUCACUUCAAACCAGUUAAUUGUAUUUCUUGUUUUGGUUUAUAUUAUAAUUGUGUAUGACAAUGUUUAGCUCUGUACAUAAGACGGUGUUGAGCAAAAUCAACUAUGAAUUAGCUAUAUGUCAAAUAAUUAUCAUUUAACAAUAUUGGCUACAGAUAAAUGCUGUUUUUAAAAGGCAACAGUAAACUACAUUUGUUAAAAUAAGGAAUGUAUACCUUUACUCUUAAUGUUGCUUUUAAAUAUUCUGUCUCAUAAAUUAUAUUUUUGUUCAUUCUGUUUUCAAUCUCGGAGUUUAAGACUAUUUUGUAAGAAGCUUAAUGAUUGAAUUUGGAUCUCAACAAGGCUAAAUUAUAUUAGAGAAAGUACUGGAUUGAAUUGGAGACCAAUCCCUGCCCUCCACCUGAACUGCUGUAACAGGUCUUCUUUUCAUCUCUUCCAGUGGUUCUUAAUCAAGGGCAAUUCUGCCCUUGGCGGGUCUUUGGCAAUGUCUGGAGACAUUUUUAGUUUUCACAGCUGUGGGGGUGGGGGUGGAGGGAGCUACUACUGUCAUCUAGUGGGUAGAGGCCAGGAAUGCUGCUAAGCAUCCUGUAGUGUACAGGACAGCCCCGACAACAAAGAAUUACACUGCUCAAAAUAUCAACAGUGCCAAGGUUGAGAAAUUGGCCUAUUCAUUCACCUCCUUGUUGUUGGUUUGUUUGUUCUUUCAUCAAUUUGUCCACACAUUCAUUCACUUGUGCAUGUACUUAUCCACCAUCUGUCCAUUAAUUCAUUCCUUCAACACAUUUUUACAAAGUGCUACCAUGAUUCAAGACUGAACUAAGGGUGGUAGUGGCUCAUGCCUAUAAUCCCAGCACUUUGGGAGGGCAAGGUAAGAAGAUUUCUUGUGGCCAGGAGUUUGAGAUCAGUCUGGGCAACACAAUGAGACUGGGUCUCUAAAAAUAUUUUAAAAUUUAGUUGGGUGUGGUCGCAUAAGACUGUAGUUUCAGCUACUUAGGUGGCUGAAGAGGGAGGAUUGAUUGAGCCAAGAAGGGCAAGGCUGCAGUGAGCCAUAAUCAUACCACCGUACACAGCCUGAGCAGAAGCAACCCUGUAUCUUAAAAAAAAAAAGGAGAUACAAAGAUAAGGAUUAUCCUGUUUCUAUUUAAUCUGACAGGGGAGAGAGAUGCUUAUGAAAUAAUCUAAACAACAAUAUGAUGUGAUCGGUGUUUCAUUUCUAAGUGUAAGAUGUUCUGGGAACAAAGAAAUUAACAAAUCCUAGGGAAGAGGAUAGAAUUCAGGAAGGCUUCAUGGAGAUGGGGAUUGUUUAUUGGAUGGGUGGGUGAGACCAUAGAAUGAAAUUCUGAGGAAAGCACAAGCAAAGCCAGAGAUGUAAUAAUCUAAAGUGUUUGAUGAGCAUGUACUGUUAGGGUAUGAAAUUAGAUUGAGGAGGGUUGGGAAAAAGAACGAAGAAAAUGCUUAAAAAAUUGAGCAGAACACUCUGGGAAGGGCCUUGGACUUCAUUCUCCAGGCUUGUAAAGUUUAGAAUAGGAUUGCGUGCGGCGGCUUAUGCCUGUAAUCUUAGCAAUUUGGGAGGCCAAGACCGGUGGAUCACUUGAGACCAGGAAUUCCAGAACAGCCUGACCAACAUGACGAAACCUGUCUCUACUAAAAACACAAAAAUUAGCUGGGCGUGGUGGCACAAGCCUGUAAUCCCAGCUACUUGGGAGGCUGAGGCACAAGAAUCCCUUGAGCCUGGGAGGCAGCAUUUACAGGGAGGUGGGGGUUGCAGUGAGCAGAGAUUCUGCCACUGCAUUCCAUCCUGGACAACAAAGUGAGACUCUGUCUCAAAAAAAAAAUUAAAAUAGAAGAGUGACAUUAGGCAUAUAAUCAUUACUCUCUUUAGGCCUGGUUUCAUACCUUUAAUGUGAGAAACAUGUCAGGUUUCCUGUAGCUUUAAAACUAUGUUAUUAUUAUAUAGUCAAUCUAUUACAUUUAUAUUACAACUAUCAAU